This is a long non-coding RNA of Carassius gibelio (silver crucian carp), 6306 nucleotides long. RefSeq lists it as uncharacterized. Lineage: Eukaryota; Metazoa; Chordata; Actinopteri; Cypriniformes; Cyprinidae. The transcript is spliced from 2 exons. The record is from RefSeq and is a predicted model, not a curated record.
UGUGACCAAUCACGGAAAGUAGGGACACAAGUCGGUUCUGGGGCAUUUUGAGUUAUUCACAGAUUCUGAAAGUGUAGUCUCCAAGCUUUCCAACGAUGUGUAACACAUGGAAAUCUGAUAAUAUUUGGAGAAGUUGUGGCCAUUUGAAGGUAGGCACUCAAAAAAGCUCAAAAAGCAGAAAAUAGCCUUUAAAGAUUGUGCAGUUCUCACUACUGCGAGUGACAAUGGGGCUCAUUCACAUCUCAUUUAGAUAAGCCAUACCCCCUGCAUAGCAACGACAGACACAACGGGAAAAAUCGGACCGCAUACUAUUAAUAAUAAAGGAAAAUGUGCAUUGUAAAUGUCAGUAAUUUAUCUUUUUUGACUUUUAUAAAAAUGAUUUAGAGGCUGAAAUAUGUGAGUUUUAUCUUUUUAUAAAAAAUCUUUAAUCUUUCAAAUGUGCCCAUCAUUUUUAAUGUUAUUAUUUUAAUGUUUAUGUAAACAAAAAGUACAUAUUGAUGCUAAUUUUAUUUGUUAUUUGCUGGUUUUCUACAUAAAACUUGGUGAAUUGAUUUCAUUGUGUAGCAUUAGGACUUUUUUUAACAGGAUUCUGUGAUAACCGAUGAGCUAGCUAAUAACAAUAGGUAGAUAUGGGAAGGUAUAAACAAGGACUAAACAUUUUCUUACGUUUUCUUAGAAUGAACACAAGACGACAAACUUUGAUGUUUAUGGAAACUCACCCCAUAAGAAACAAAAGUAUUCUCGCAGAUCUCGAUGACUCCAAUAUAGGGCUGGGCAAUAUGGCCAAAAUUUCAUAUCCCGAUAACGAUAUACAUAACGAUAUAGCAAUUUUUCUGUUAAUUCCGUUUAUGAAUAUUCUAUAUAAAAUUGCAAUGUGGAAAUGCAGUUUGAAAUGACAUACAAAACAAAUAAAGGAAGUAUGGACUAAAUAUUUAUUUUAUUUAGAACCUUUUUUUCAAGCAAGACUGUUGGUCAUGUUAACACCUGACAUUAAAAUAUUUCAACCCGCUAUUAUCGACCGUGUAGAUAUGCUUGGCAACAGCAGAAGUGAUCUCCUUCCAUCUGUGCCACGGGUAAAAGCCUGUGGAGCCGUUCACUUAUUGAGUAUUUUGCGCGCUCAAGUUCGUUAUUUCCAAUGUAGGUGCGCGGUAUGCGCGGUCAUAAUGGAAGCGCGGUGCGUUUUUUCCAGGCGCGUCCGCACCGCAUCGAGUUAAAAACAUUUAAACCUUUUCAUCCGUUUUAGGCGUCCAUGCAACAGAAGUCGCCCCUCUUUUAGGUACAAGCUCCUCGGUUUGGGUUGGCUGGUCAUCUUGUUGCGUCUACUACCGUCUUCCUCCAUGUUUGUUUAUGUAUUGCAGCGUGCAUGGGCAGGCCGUUGCGUGAGGUGCAUCUUGACGUAAAAUUCUGCCGUAAACGCCUUAUCGUGGCGUAAACGAUAGAGCCUUAUAUAAAAUGAUAGACAUUUUCUAUCGUCCAGACGAUAUAUUUCGUCAUAUCGCCCAGCCAUACUCCAAUACAUUCUUCCUCAUCAUCAUCAUCUUCGCUAAGUUGUAGAUUAGGGAUAUUACAGUCUUAUUAUGCCGCUUUCAUCAUCGCUCAGAUCGUCUUCAGAAUCAGUGAGCACUUGUUUAUAAGCAUCCGGCUUGUCGAAGAAGCACUUCAAAACAUUUUCGGUGUAACGGUCACGGUUCAGCUCGUCUGCGUUCAUCUUUGCGGCGUACAUCUUCAUUGAAUUUUGAUAUCAGCUAGAGCUGGCCAGAGCGCUGCAUACUAAGUAGCCAUGCUUCCCUCGGAGGGCGGGGGCAAUAACUAAAGAAACAAAAGCCGGCUUAUUCAGUAUGGAAAUACAGACAGACAAUGAAACGCCCCUACUGCGUGCUAGAAUCUCCGACAAACAACCUGAUUUCAACCUCAAAAUGUACACUUUUAAAUAUACCAAUACUGCUUUUGCAAACACGGAGAGGCUUCUUUGUGAUAUCAACUAACAGAUUCUGCAAAAAAACGAAAAUCACCAAUUUUGAAAAAAAAAAACACUUCUUUCUCAUUUUGCUCGAAAGUUGUGCUGCCGACUUGUCACUGGUUUCCGUGACGGGUCACAUAUAUGCAAUGGUUAGGUGAUGUGACUUAGACAGCCCUCCCAUCCAAGCAUCGAACAGUGAGGGUAGGACUCAAAUGUGAGAUAUUCUGAAGCUAUAUUGAAGUAUUUGUGAAUGAUGGUCUCUCUUUUAGGAUGACAUGCCUGUCAGCCAUCUGCCUGACCCAGGCCUGGAUGAUGUGGAAAUUCAUCAAUUUCCAGCUGAAGAAGUGGAGAGAACAAUCUCAGAUCCAAGCCAGCAAGAAGAAAGCUGUCGGCCAGAAAAGCAGACCCAGCAAGAAGGACUCUCGGGGGGGUUCAGUCAAUGGAGUCGUGAAACCAGAUGACAAGACAUCACCAAGAGCAAGAAAAUCUAAAGCCUCGUAAGAGGAAACCGAGAGCAGGUGCCCAAAAUGUGAUGCUCUGUUUCCACUCUGAACUUUAGAAAAGAAACGGAUUUGAUAACCGCAAAAAGAACCACAGGAACAAACUAAAGAACUUAGUUGUACGGCAUGGUUCAGGUUUUAUUUGUCUCCUGUUUUUCCUGUCUGCAUCUUUAAAAUGAACUCUAGAUUUAUAAUCAAUCAUUAUAUCCAUAUGCUUGUGACUUUUAGCAAGACUGAGAUGUUUUCUGAGGGUUUUGUGAUUGACGUGAAGGGAAGAUGUUGCACUUGGCUUGACACUUGCUCAUUGAGUUGUGUGGUUUAAGUCCAGGAUCUGAUCGACAAAAAAGUCUCUGAAGCAUUUAUCCAGCCCUUAACACAAUUAAAUCCUAUUCACCGUGAUUUUUGCGCUUUCUGUGAAACACACGGUGUGGACCGAAGCGUUUGAGAAGUGUCCUUUGUUAACUGUUCACAUUUAGCCCCUCAGUCCUAUACGCUACUAUGAAGCUCAGUGACAAACCCCAGGAUGAAGAGGCUGAGGUGGCGAAGGACUGCUACACCAAUCGUUUUUACCUAGCUUUUAAAUGACCUGAGCUGUGUGAUUUUACAUUUUGAUAAUGAAUUUAGUGUCUCGUUUGCGUGUGAAUGUUGUUGUUCGAGGAUAAUCGUUUUAUAAUUUGUAUCGACAAUGUUUGAGGUGGAGCUGUUGUGUGUUGGUGUUGUGGUUGAGGUGAUUAGAUGAUGGCUCCACCUGCAGGCUUAGAUGGUCUAUUUCUGUAAGGAUUGAUAUCCAUUUUUGUAGAAGGGUUCAAAUGCUGACCCAGGACUAUUAAAGAGCCUAACUGGCCAGGUUUGGGAGAUGGUCCUCACUGCAUAACACAAGAUCCAGGGGGCGUGGUUGGAUCCAGAUCCAACUCCUCCCAACUUACAUAUACCUAAACCUACCCAUCUCCACCCCUAAAUUUACCAAUCUCCACCUUCCCAUCUCCACCUGUAAAUGCACUCAUCUCCACCCCUAAACUUACCAAUCUCCACCUUCCCAUCUCUUCCCCUAAACCUACCCAUCUCCACCCCUAAACUUACCAAUCUCCACCUACCCAUCUCUGCCCCUAAACCUACCCAUCUUCACCCCUAAAUUUAGCAAUCUCCACCUACCCAUCUCUGCCCCUAAACCUACCCAUCUUCACCCCUAAACUUACCAAUCUCCACCUACCCAUCUCUGCCCCUAAACCUACCCAUCUUCACCCCUAAAUUUACCAAUCUCCACCUACCCAUCUCUGCCCCUAAACCUACCCAUCUUCACCCCUAAAUUUAGCAAUCUCCACCUACCCAUCUCUGCCCCUAAACCUACCCAUCUUCACCCCUAAAUUUAGCAAUCUCCACCUACCCAUCUCUUCCCCUAAACCUACCCAUCUCCACCCCUAAAUUUAGCAAUCUCCACCUACCCAUCUCUUCCCCUAAACCUACCCAUCUCCACCCCUAAACUUACCAAUCUCCACCUACCCAUCUCUGCCCCUAAACCUACCCAUCUUCACCCCUAUAUUUAGCAAUCUCCACCUACCCAUCUCUGCCUCUAAACCUACCCAUCUUCAACCAUAAAUUUAGCAAUCUCCACCUACCCAUCUCUGCCCCUAAACCCACUCAUCUUCACCCUAAACUUACCAAUCUCCACCUACCCAUUUCCACCCCUAAACCACACAUCUCCACUCCUGAACCCACACAUAAACUAACCUUGAAUAAUGAGGUGAUUAUGUUUUUAUAUGGACCACUCAUCUCUACGCACCCAGCUCCGCCCCUAAACCUACCAGUCUUCACCCCCUAGAUGUGGAUCCAACCACACCUCCUGGGUCUUGUGUUCUGCAGUGAGGGGCUACUGAAGAUUGGGACCUUGGUGCUUAUCAUUGAUACUUUACGGUUAUCGAUAUAAUCCAUAACACAUAUCAAAGUAAUAACGCUUUUAGUUUCAGUUGCAAAAGCCUUGGAGCUUAUUAAAUAUUUUACUAUGACAUUGUGCAAGUGUGGAUUUUAUCUUCAACGCAAUGAAAGCCAGCCUUUUGUUUUAAAUUAUCAAAAAAUCUGAAGAGGUUUUAAGUGCAGGAGAAAGUUAAAAGUGCAUGUAUACUGAGCUAUAGAGAAGUUUAUGAAGCCCUGAAGCUCUGUUUUGAUGUGAAAAGUGUUGAAACAUCACUCUUUCAUCACUUUGUGGCCUUUUCCUUGCUUUUGAGUGAUCUGCUCUGUUAUCUGUUAACUGCGCUCGACCGUGUCUGUCAGCACGUAGUUUAUAUGAAACCAUACGAUUCUUUAAGUGUCCUUAAACUGACAACAGUAGAAGUUCUUUCUGGGUUUGAGCACCGUUGCUCUCUUUGCACCUGUGUUUAUUAGUGUGAUGAGAGAGUUUGAUAUUCUUUUCCCCAUUGAAAUGUCGUGAAAAUGCAUGUUGCGAAUUUUCAAAGAAUUGGUCAUUGAAGCAUUUGAUGCCUAAGGGCAGAAAUAAAACUGUAGGCAUGCAAUCAAAAGUGGCCGUCUGUUAAUCUUUUUUUUUUGUAGUGUGAAAGCAAGACUCAAACUGCCAGUUUGUUGUUUCAUUUAUUUUCUGAACCCUGUCUUAACACACAUUGUGUCGGAUCAUAUAGAUGCUGUGUACCAGUUGCCAAAUAAUAUGAAAGGGACUCGCUGCUCUCUCCCAGUUACUUUGGUAUUGUGUGUACAAGUUAGAAAUCAUACAGUACCUGCUUUUCGGAUUAAGUUUGUAGGUUAAGUGCCUAAAUCUGGCUGCAGAACUGGGUCCAAAUGGAGUCAAUGGUUUGCUUUUGUUCGGUGCAUUAGUGAAAGAGCCCAGAUUCAAAGAUUUCAUAGAAACUUCCCCCGUGGCCUUCAUAACACACAGAGAGGUUUGUUUGUGGUGCAGAGCUAAUUCUGGGAAUUUAAGUUGGUGCUGGUUCUUCUCUAACAGAUGUCUGGAGGACUUUAGAUUUGAUAAAUACUAAAAUCUCCCACCUUUACACAAAAAUGAUCUUGGUUUUGUUCUUGUUCCAAACCUCUGAUUAACAUCCAUUGCAAAGUAGAAUGCUUUUUUCUCCAUGAAAGAGUUUGUUUUUUGUUUUCCAUUUAGUUUUGUUUGCUGAAUGAUCUUUUAAAGGAAAAUAAUUCUCUAGAGUAAUUCACUACUGAAUAAUUUUUAAACUAUUUUUAUAGCGUUGAACUGUUGAAAGAUUACCAUUAUUUAGAGCAUAUAAAUAUUUUACUGCUUAUGGGUUUAUUAUUUUUAUACUGUGUGGGAGAAGCUUUCUACCAUUUCAGUUGGACUGCAAAUGAUAAAUACUUUUGUUGACUAAAUGUUGUGAAAAUAUUACUCUUUCCCUGAUUUGUCAGUGUUUUUAAUUUGGGAUAUGAACAAGUGUGCAAUCUGGUUUAUUUUUGAUUAGUGGGAUUGUAGUGGAUAAAAACACAAAGUGGCGGUGAGAAUAAACUUCACACGCUGUCAUUGUUCUGUCAUGUGAGAGAUUACUGAAUAACUGUGGUGUUUUCAUGUGGCUUAGUGGUUUUGAUUUUGUGUAUAUAAAUUUAAAUGGGGGAAAAAAUCUAAUUCACAAAAUACAUUUUUACAAUAUUGUUUGCAGUGAUCAGUCAUCAUCAUAAUUAUUCUGAUAUGUCACAUUAAAAGAUGCACCAAAGCCUUCUGGAAGAUCAGAUACACAGAAGCUCAAUUAUAUUUCACCCUGCUUUACAUGCCUGUAUGUUGACAUAUAUUGGUUUUUAAUAUAAAAUGUUAAUGUAUGUAUUUAUGCAAGUCUGUGUGAUGCUUUUUGUAUGUUUGUCCUAUUUGAUUAAAUCUUUUGCGUAACCCUA